This 253-nucleotide ribosomal RNA is filed under the name uncultured bacterium. RNAcentral describes it as "partial 16S ribosomal RNA". It matches the Rfam family "Bacterial small subunit ribosomal RNA", at positions 524 to 776 of the family's 1533-position model. The record is from RNAcentral.
UACGUAGGGUGCGAGCGUUAAUCGGAAUUACUGGGCGUAAAGCGUGCGCAGGCGGUUUUGCAAGCCGGAUGUGAAAUCCCCGGGCUUAACCUGGGAAUGGCAUUUGUGACUGCAUCGCUGGAGUGCGGCAGAGGGGGAUGGAAUUCCGCGUGUAGCAGUGAAAUGCGUAGAUAUGCGGAGGAACACCGAUGGCGAAGGCAAUCCCCUGGGCCUGCACUGACGCUCAUGCACGAAAGCGUGGGGAGCAAACAGG